RNAcentral lists this ribosomal RNA (458 nucleotides) under Lasius sp. JL13. RNAcentral describes it as "LSU rRNA". Lineage: Eukaryota; Metazoa; Arthropoda; Insecta; Hymenoptera; Formicidae. The record is from RNAcentral.
GGGAGAUUUAUCGUCAGCGGCGCUGGCUUCGCGUCGGUCGGCGAUGUCCCGCGGAGUCCUCGUGGCUCGCGCGCGGGCACGCUACCGUGCGCUCGAUGUCCGGCGCUCGUCGUCGUGCACUUCUCCCCAAGUAGAACGUCGCGACCCGCUGGGUGUCGGUCUACGGCCCGGGUGAGGUGACUGUCGCGUCGCCGGUAAAACGGCACGCGACAAACCCUCGGUCGCCCGGCCGGCUGCUCGGCGGUACGCGCAAGGUAUCAGGCCGCACGCUUAUUCAGCGGUGCGUCGAGGCCGUCGCAAGCGCGCGCCACGGUACUCGGAGGUUACGGACUUCGCGCCGUCCCCGGUCCUGGCCCGCUGUUGGUUACAGUACGGUUCACCUUCGACAGGCCUAUGAACGUCUUCCGCGUGUUAACACGCGGGGGACCGAUACCGGUCGGCGACGCUACUGCUUUGGG